GAUGGACGCUGGCGGCGUGCCUAACACAUGCAAGUCGAACGGAGAUUACGGACGGAAGUUUUCGGAUGGAAGCCUGUAAUUCUUAGUGGCGGACGGGUGAGUAACGCGUGGGCAACCUGCCCUAUACAGGGGGAUAGCAGCUGGAAACGGCUGGUAAGACCGCAUAAGUCGGUUAAAUCGCAUGAUUUGAUCGGGAAAUGAGCAAUCAGGUAUAGGAUGGGCCCGCGUCCGAUUAGCCAGUUGGCAGGGUAAAAGCCUACCAAAGCGACGAUCGGUAGCCGGACUGAGAGGUCGGACGGCCACAUUGGGACUGAGACACGGCCCAAACUCCUACGGGAGGCAGCAGUGGGGGAUAUUGCACAAUGGAGGAAACUCUGAUGCAGCGACGCCGCGUGAGUGAAGAAGUAUUUCGGUAUGUAAAGCUCUAUCAGCAGGGAAGAUGAUGACGGUACCUGACUAAGAAGCCCCGGCUAACUACGUG
RNAcentral lists this ribosomal RNA (481 nucleotides) under uncultured bacterium. Its description in RNAcentral is "partial 16S ribosomal RNA". It matches the Rfam family "Bacterial small subunit ribosomal RNA", at positions 28 to 507 of the family's 1533-position model. The record is from RNAcentral.